This 148-nucleotide ribosomal RNA is filed under the name uncultured bacterium. RNAcentral's name for it is "partial 16S ribosomal RNA". It matches the Rfam family "Bacterial small subunit ribosomal RNA", at positions 337 to 477 of the family's 1533-position model. The record is from RNAcentral.
UCCUACGGGAGGCAGCAGUGGGGAAUUUUGGACAAUGGGGGCAACCCUGAUCCAGCCAUUCCGCGUGAGUGAAGAAGGCCUUCGGGUUGUAAAGCUCUUUCGGCAGGAACGAAACGGCGAGCUCUAACAUAGCUCGCUAAUGACGGUA